Molecule: long non-coding RNA, 3665 nt
Filed under: Olea europaea subsp. europaea
Lineage: Eukaryota; Viridiplantae; Streptophyta; Magnoliopsida; Lamiales; Oleaceae
Source: RNAcentral
ACAUCUUUUCUACUUAACCCAAACGACGUCCUCUUCAAUUCAUUUGCACCAGUUAAGUUCGGUUGGCUUCUCUUCCUUUCCUUCUUCCUCCCCGUUGGCUCUUCCCAUGACAACCCUCACCCUCACCUUGAUAUUAUCCCCAAGAUCUAAAGAGAGGGAACUAUGAUAGUCUGUAUCUUCCCAAGUCACGCUAUUAGGAUAGAGUCUGCCAAAUGAAUAAACCAUUGUUCUGCUAAAGAAUUCUUCUUUGUUACUAUCCGGAUAUUUAACAUGGACAAUAAUUUGUGCUCAGGUUGCUAUUCAUAACUCUCCUCCAGUCACUGUGAAAGGUUCUCCUUUAACUAUUGGUUUAGUUUGUAUCUUUGCAUCUCCACUACUAGCUUCUCUAUUUCUAUCUUCUGAAUAAAAGAGCAUAUAUAGGGUCUGAUUUUAAAUGCAUGUGCUCGUUCCUUCAAGGGAAUGUGAUGAUCAUGUGAUCUAAUCGUUCCUCCUUGAUAUGAUACAAUUGUCCCCACUAUCACAUAAGGCUCCUUACCAAACAUUUUCUCCACCUUUCUCAUCUCCAUUAAUUCGACAAAAUCUUUAGAAACUUCACUCCUCAAUUUUAUCACUUCAUUAUUGCCUUGGCACUGGACACAUCCUUAUAGGAAAUCAAAGGUAAUUGGACCAAACUGACUCAUCCAAUCUACACCUAACAUCAUGUCACUCCCUGCUAAUUCAAAGGUCCUGAGUUUGAAUUGUAACUCCUAGUCUUGCACCCUCCAUACCACAGCUUGGCAUAAUGUUGUACUUUCUAAUUUAUCACCAUUGGUUGCUCUCACUGUUACUUUACUGGUUCCAUCAAUAGCAUAUUUCAAUACUUUGGCUAAUUCCUCAUCCACAAAACUGUCUGUGCUUCCACUGUCAAUCAGUAUGGAUACUCCUCUUCCCUCUAAUAGUUUUAUUUUUCCACUCUCCAGUCAAUGCAUUGAUUGAAAUUUCCAUGAUUUCUUCACCUCCUGAUUCGAAUUCUCCAUCUCCCUUUAGUUCAUUUUCCUCAUCUUCAUCUACCAAUAUAAAGUUCAAGGACAUAUUCUUGCACACAUGGCCUAUGGUGUACUUCUCAUCACAUUUGUAACAGAGUCCCAAGUUCGUUUUGGUUUGAAAGUCAGUAGGGGUGAUGGUUUUGUAGUUAUUUGUUGGUUUACUGGUUUUUUGCCAUGGUUUUUUAUUUUUGGUUUCUUCAGGAAAAUUGGGAGAAUAGGGAUUCCGUUUGUUUGGUGAGAAACUCCUAAGUUUUUGGAAUUUGUGGAUGGCUUGAAUGGUGGAUUCCUACAGGCUAGCUAUCUCAAAUGCCUUAGCCAGCGUACUUAGUUUCAUCAUUAUAACCAUUGAUCUAAUUUCUCCUAUUAAACCACUAGUAAAUACAGCAAUAUAAUAAGAUUCUGGAACAUGGGGUAAUGCUAUCAUUACCUGUGAUCUCAACCCCUCAAAUUUCACUUGAUAUUCCUCUAUGGAACUCAAUUGUUUGAUUUUGCUAAAACUCUCUACCACAUCUUUACCUGUGGCUUCUGCAAAUCUCCUGUGGAUUUCUUCAGAGAAUAGGUUCUAAUCUGCCCUGGGAUGUCUUGCAAUGAACCCAUCAAACCAGAUAUCAGCCUUACCCUUCAAUUACAUCUCCGCAAUUCCUAACCAAAGUUCAUUAGGAUUCUGAUGCAUCUGAAAAUACUUCCUAGCCUUCCUAAGCCACUCCCUAGGCCCUUCUCCCCCUCCCCUCCCCCCCCAAAUGAGGGAAAUCAAUCUUAGGCAGCCUAGUGUUCCCCUUCAUUCUGGUGAUAAGACUAGCCUCAUUACUACUUGCUCCUGGUGUAGAAGUCACAUUUUCGGGUCUCAAGUCAGCUAUAGAUUCAGCUAUUCCCUUGUUCUUCUGUUUCGUUUUCAAGUCAGUGGAGAUUUGAGCCAUAAAAGCAACUGCCGUCUCAUAUUUUUGGUUCAAUUUUAGCUUAGCAUCUUCUAUUAUCUCUUGCCUACUACCCAGUACUUGAAAAGUUUGGUCUGUGGACUCAAGUUUAUUCUCUAGAUUGCUAGUAACAGCUUUGAAACCUGUCCCCAAAUCUUCCAUCUCCAAAUCUAGCUUCUUCGGGUACUUUUCCACAACCUUAGAUCUGAUACCACUUGUCACGGUUGGAAUCCCAGUUGCAGCUUGUCCUCUACCAUAACUCGUAAUGAACCCUAGUCAGCUGAAGGUAGCUAAAUUUUAACCAAAGAAAAGAAGAAAAAUAGAAAGGGGAGAGGAAAAUGAUGUAAAAUGAACAAGAAAUGAGGAAGAAAAGCUGUUGAACGAUUUCAACAAUUUUACUAAAAAUUAGAUUACACAGACCCUUUUCACGAUGCAUCUAUGGCUGUAUCUAUAGCCACAAAAUAGAAAAAGUCGUGUUUUCCAAAAGCAAUAGAGGAAACUUGUUUUAACAAAACUUAAUACAAUUCAAUUAAGACAAAACGGCACCGUUUCUACUUAACCCAAACAACAUCAUCUUCAAUUCAUUUAUACCAAUUAAGUUUGGUUGGCUCCUCUUCAUUUCCUUCUUCCUCCCCGUUGGCUCUUCCCAUGACAUUCUUGAACAAAGAAAAGUAAUGGUAGAUUACUUAUCUUAAUGACCAAAACAUAGUAUAACAGAACCAAUUUAGUGACAGCAGAUUAAAAGGGAGUGAGAAGAUUAUACUAAAGUCUAAAAUGGCGAAAUUGUGGAAAGAAUGGAGCAGUGUAAGAAUGCUAGAAUUGAACCAAUACUUCCAAAUAAUACAAAGGAACCCAACAAGUCACAAUGACUUAGCAGAACUUGUCAGUGAGUCAAGAAAUCAAUAGGAAUCGGAGUGAGUCAAUUCAACUUACUAGAAUCCAGUAUGAGUUACAAGUACAACCACGGCUCAGUAGUGAUUCAAGAUCUAAGGAGAGUCAAAGGUACAUAAGAGGAAAAACAAAUUAAACCUCAUGAACAGUAGAGUAUUGAACAAGAUAGAUCUAACCCAAAAGACACAAAAAUCUUAAAAGGAUCCAACCAAAAGUUGAAUUGAAAGCUAAUCAAACAAAUACCUUUUUCAGAAAACCAAUUUAUUUUCACAAAAUCUUCUCAAAAUCUCCAGAUCUGCAUCAAGCAAUUGAUUUUUAAAAACUUGGGUUUUCAGAGGGAAAAAAAAAAAACCAUAACCCAUGAUUUUAGAGAAAAGUGCACUGAUAUCAUUUGUUGGUCCCAAAUCAAUUUUUACAACCCAGUUUAAAUAAAAAAAUGUUUACGAGAAAAUAAAUCGUAGAACUUAAAAUAACAAGAAUAGGAAGAAUUAUUUUUACCCUUAACGGAUGUUCAGCCUUCGACAUAACAACCACAUCGAACAUCUAUAAGUAGAUAUUGCUCUAGAUCCACUAAAAUCAACAAAAGAAUAGGUGACAUGUAUUAGGAAAUCAAAUUUCUCUCGUCUUCCUACUAUGACAACAGAAUAUACUUCUCACAAUCUCUUAGAUUGCACACUAAAUUCAUUCAAGAACAUCUCACCAAAAGAUUACAGGGACUAAAUAUGAAGAAGAAGAAAAGUAUAUAACUCAAAAAGAAACCCUAAAAAAUCACUCAGAAUAUCAACCAACAAUCAAAGAUAGAGAUGUAUGAGGCUAAGUAUCAACGCUAAGAGUC